Molecule: ribosomal RNA, 262 nt
Filed under: uncultured Methanobacterium sp.
Lineage: Archaea; Methanobacteriati; Methanobacteriota; Methanobacteria; Methanobacteriales; Methanobacteriaceae
Description: partial 16S ribosomal RNA
Rfam family: Archaeal small subunit ribosomal RNA
Source: RNAcentral
CAAGACCGGUGCCAGCCGCCGCGGUAACACCGGCAGCUCAAGUGGUAGCCAUUUUUAUUGGGCCUAAAGCGUUCGUAGCCGGUUUGAUAAGUCUCUGGUGAAAUCCUAUGGCUUAACUGUGGGAAUUGCUGGAGAUACUAUUAGACUUGAGGUCGGGAGAGGUUAGCGGUACUCCCAGGGUAGGGGUGAAAUCCUGUAAUCCUGGGAGGACCACCUGUGGCGAAGGCGGCUAACUGGAACGAACCUGACGGUGAGGGACGAA